This 319-nucleotide long non-coding RNA is filed under the name Homo sapiens (human). RNAcentral describes it as "HSALNT0351217". The record is from RNAcentral. Lineage: Eukaryota; Metazoa; Chordata; Mammalia; Primates; Hominidae.
UCCAACCCUUAGUUAGAAGAUGAGGGUAAGAGUCACUGAAGGUAAAUAACUUUCAAGGGCUUCAGAGGUCAUUUAGUCCGGCCAAUAACUGGGAGAGGACCAAAGAACUUAAUUUUAAAGCCUGGAUCUGAAAUUUUUCAACUUCUUUUGUUAUGAAGUGAUUUCCAGCAGGAGUGAUGCAAAAGCUGAAAGGCUUCAUACUACAGGAAGAGGAUAUGGUUAAAGGCACCAGGAUGUCUACAAAACAGAUUUAUUUCCAUCUCAGCAGGAGGCAGCCAUGUUUCUCUAAGUGUUGAUUAAACUGUUCCUCCAUGGUGGC